Molecule: ribosomal RNA, 439 nt
Filed under: uncultured bacterium
Lineage: Bacteria
Description: partial 16S ribosomal RNA
Rfam family: Bacterial small subunit ribosomal RNA
Source: RNAcentral
CUACGGGGUGCAGCAGUGGGGAAUAUUGCACAAUGGACGAAAGUCUGAUGCAGCAACGCCGCGUGGAGGGUGACACAUUUCGGUGCGUAAACUCCUUUUAUAUAGGAAGAUAAUGACGGUACUAUAUGAAUAAGCGCCGGCUAACUCCGUGCCAGCAGCCGCGGUAAUACGUAGGGCGCAAGCGUUACUCGGAAUCACUGGGCGUAAAGAGCGUGUAGGCGGAUAGAUAAGUCAGGAGUGAAAUCCUAUGGCUCAACCAUAGAACUGCUCUUGAAACUGUCUAUCUAGAAUAUGGGAGAGGUAGAUGGAAUUUCUGGUGUAGGGGUAAAAUCCGUAGAGAUCAGAAGGAAUACCGAUUGCGAAGGCGAUCUACUGGAACAUUAUUGACGCUGAGACGCGAAAGCGUGGGGAGCAAACAGGAUUAGAUACCCCUGUAGUC